RNAcentral lists this ribosomal RNA (1204 nucleotides) under Klebsiella pneumoniae. RNAcentral describes it as "bacterial SSU rRNA". It matches the Rfam family "Bacterial small subunit ribosomal RNA", at positions 200 to 1394 of the family's 1533-position model. The record is from RNAcentral. Lineage: Bacteria; Pseudomonadati; Pseudomonadota; Gammaproteobacteria; Enterobacterales; Enterobacteriaceae.
CUUUCGGGCCUCAUGCCAUCAGAUGUGCCCAGAUGGGAUUAGCUAGUAGGUGGGGUAACGGCUCACCUAGGCGACGAUCCCUAGCUGGUCUGAGAGGAUGACCAGCCACACUGGAACUGAGACACGGUCCAGACUCCUACGGGAGGCAGCAGUGGGGAAUAUUGCACAAUGGGCGCAAGCCUGAUGCAGCCAUGCCGCGUGUGUGAAGAAGGCCUUCGGGUUGUAAAGCACUUUCAGCGGGGAGGAAGGCGGUGAGGUUAAUAACCUCAUCGAUUGACGUUACCCGCAGAAGAAGCACCGGCUAACUCCGUGCCAGCAGCCGCGGUAAUACGGAGGGUGCAAGCGUUAAUCGGAAUUACUGGGCGUAAAGCGCACGCAGGCGGUCUGUCAAGUCGGAUGUGAAAUCCCCGGGCUCAACCUGGGAACUGCAUUCGAAACUGGCAGGCUAGAGUCUUUGUAGAGGGGGGUAGAAUUCCAGGUGUAGCGGUGAAAUGCGUAGAGAUCUGGAGGAAUACCGGUGGCGAAGGCGGCCCCCUGGACCAAAGACUGACGCUUCAGGUGCGGAAAGCGUGGGGAGCAAACAGGAUUAAGAUACCCUGGUAGUCCACGCCGUAAACGAUGUCGAUUUGGAGGUUGUGCCCUUGAGGCGUGGCUUCCGGAGCUAACGCGUUAAAUCGACCGCCUGGGGGAGUACGGCCGCAAGGUUAAAACUCAAAUGAAUUGACGGGGGCCCGCACAAGCGGUGGAGCAUGUGGUUUAAUUCGAUGCAACGCGAAGAACCUUACCUGGUCUUGACAUCCACAGAACUUUCCAGAGAUGGAUUGGUGCCUUCGGGAACUGUGAGACAGGUGCUGCAUGGCUGUCGUCAGCUCGUGUUGUGAAAUGUUGGGUUAAGUCCCGCAACGAGCGCAACCCUUAUCCUUUGUUGCCAGCGGUUAGGCCGGGAACUCAAAGGAGACUGCCAGUGAUAAACUGGAGGAAGGUGGGGAUGACGUCAAGUCAUCAUGGCCCUUACGACCAGGGCUACACACGUGCUACAAUGGCAUAUACAAAGAGAAGCGACCUCGCGAGAGCAAGCGGACCUCAUAAAGUAUGUCGUAGUCCGGAUUGGAGUCUGCAACUCGACUCCAUGAAGUCGGAAUCGCUAGUAAUCGUAGAUCAGAAUGCUACGGUGAAUACGUUCCCGGGCCUUGUACACACCGCC